RNAcentral lists this ribosomal RNA (200 nucleotides) under uncultured bacterium. RNAcentral's name for it is "partial 16S ribosomal RNA". It matches the Rfam family "Bacterial small subunit ribosomal RNA", at positions 524 to 723 of the family's 1533-position model. The record is from RNAcentral.
UACGGAGGGGGUUAGCGUUGUUCGGAAUUACUGGGCGUAAAGCGUACGUAGGCGGAUCAGAAAGUAGGGGGUGAAAUCCCGAGGCUCAACCUCGGAACUGCCUCCUAAACUCCUGGUCUUGAGUUCGAGGAGUGAGUGGUGAAUUCCAAGUGUAGAGGUGAAAUUCGUAGAUAUUUGGAGGAACACCAGUGGCGAAGGCG